GCUUAAAUAGUUUAAUAAAAACUUUAAUUUGUGGAUUUAAUAAUGUGUAAUAGCACUUUAGGCU
This 64-nucleotide transfer RNA is filed under the name Teredorus hainanensis. RNAcentral describes it as "tRNA-His". The record is from RNAcentral. Lineage: Eukaryota; Metazoa; Arthropoda; Insecta; Orthoptera; Tetrigidae.